RNAcentral lists this unclassified non-coding RNA (278 nucleotides) under uncultured Sclerotiniaceae. RNAcentral's name for it is "sequence contains ITS1". The stretch from base 1 to 105 matches the Rfam family "5.8S ribosomal RNA", at positions 50 to 154 of the family's 154-position model. Lineage: Eukaryota; Fungi; Ascomycota; Leotiomycetes; Helotiales; Sclerotiniaceae. The record is from RNAcentral.
GAAAAGCGAUAUGUAAUGUGAAUUGCAGAAUUUAGUGAAUCAUCGAAUCUUUGAACGCACAUUGCGCCCUGUAGCAUUCUACAGGGCAUGCCUGUUCGAGUGUCAUUUCACCCUCAAGCAUAGCUUGGUCUUGAAUCUAGUCGUACGACUGAUUUUAAAAAUAGUAGUGGCUUCGUAGGUGCUAAACGUAGUAACUUUCGUUCCAGCGCCUCAUCUUAGUUGCGAAAUGGACUUUUGUAGUUGACCUCGAAUCAGGUAGGGAUACCCGCUGAACUUAA